CCUACGGGAGGCAGCAGUGGGGAAUAUUGCACAAUGGGCGCAAGCCUGAUGCAGCGACGCCGCGUGAGGGAUGACGGCCUUCGGGUUGUAAACCUCUUUCAGUAGGGAAGAAGCCGCAAGGUGACGGUACCUGCAGAAGAAGCGCCGGCUAACUACGUGCCAGCAGCCGCGGUAAUACGUAGGGCGCAAGCGUUAUCCGGAAUUAUUGGGCGUAAAGAGCUCGUAGGCGGUUUGUCGCGUCUGCCGUGAAAGUCCGGGGCUCAACUCCGGAUCUGCGGUGGGUACGGGCAGACUAGAGUGAUGUAGGGGAGACUGGAAUUCCUGGUGUAGCGGUGAAAUGCGCAGAUAUCAGGAGGAACACCGAUGGCGAAGGCAGGUCUCUGGGCAUUAACUGACGCUGAGGAGCGAAAGCAUGGGGAGCGAACAGGAUUAGAUACCCUGGUAGUCCAUGCCGUAAACGUUGGGCACUAGGUGUGGGGGACAUUCCACGUUUUCCGCGCCGUAGCUAACGCAUUAAGUGCCCCGCCUGGGGAGUACGGCCGCAAGGCAAAACUCAAAGGAAUUGACGG
RNAcentral lists this ribosomal RNA (569 nucleotides) under uncultured bacterium. RNAcentral's name for it is "bacterial SSU rRNA". It matches the Rfam family "Bacterial small subunit ribosomal RNA", at positions 338 to 916 of the family's 1533-position model. The record is from RNAcentral.